This 359-nucleotide long non-coding RNA is filed under the name Elaeis guineensis (African oil palm). RNAcentral's name for it is "long non-coding RNA (EGUI_LNC000846)". The record is from RNAcentral. Lineage: Eukaryota; Viridiplantae; Streptophyta; Magnoliopsida; Arecales; Arecaceae.
UCACGAAUCUCAUAAUAUUUUGAAUCCAACUAUCCAAAAUAUUUAUGAAUCAUAGUAUACGGAUUUUUGAUUAUUGACCAUUAUUUAUAGUUAAUAUAUUAUUUUUUAUUAUUUUAUUCUAAAAUUUAUCCAUCAGUAUAUCAAUAUCAAAUCAGUAUGUGGUAUUAGUGAUAUAUCGAUGACCAAUAUAUCAAAUCAAAUAUUAUAAUAAAAAUAUUAAUAAUAUAAUAAAUUGGUAUUAGUACAGGAUCUUAUAUCAAAAUGGUAAAUCUUGUUUCAUUCGUGUGCACGCCCCUGUGCGUGUGUGGACCCCCGACAGAGAGAGAGAGAGAGAGAGAGAGAGAGAGAGACAAGCGGCC